CGACCGCUGGCGGCGUGCCUAAUACAUGCAAGUCGACCGCUUCUUUCCUCCCGAGUGCUUGCACUCAAUUGGAAAGAGGAGUGGCGGACGGGUGAGUAACACGUGGGUAACCUACCCAUCAGAGGGGGAUAACACUUGGAAACAGGUGCUAAUACCGCAUAACAGUUUAUGCCGCAUGGCAUAAGAGUGAAAGGCGCUUUCGGGUGUCGUUGAUGGAUGGACCCGCGGUGCAUUAGCUAGUUGGUGAGGUAACGGCUCACCAAGGCCACGAUGCAUAGCCGACCUGAGAGGGUGAUCGGCCACACUGGGACUGAGACACGGCCCAGACUCCUACGGGAGGCAGCAGUAGGGAAUCUUCGGCAAUGGACGAAAGUCUGACCGAGCAACGCCGCGUGAGUGAAGAAGGUUUUCGGAUCGUAAAACUCUGUUGUUAGAGAAGAACAAGGACGUUAGUAACUGAACGUCCCCUGACGGUAUCUAACCAGAAAGCCACGGCUAACUACGUG
Molecule: ribosomal RNA, 506 nt
Filed under: uncultured bacterium
Lineage: Bacteria
Description: partial 16S ribosomal RNA
Rfam family: Bacterial small subunit ribosomal RNA
Source: RNAcentral